CUUGGUCAUUUAGAGGAAGUAAAAGUCGUAACAAGGUUUCCGUAGGUGAACCUGCGGAAGGAUCAUUACAAGUGAGGCUACCGAACGUUGGAAACAGCGGUUAGGAGCUUACACCCACCCGUGUUUACAUACUAUUGUUGCUUUGGCGGGCCGUGGCCUCCACUGCGGGCUCCGCUCGUGUGUGCCCGCCAGAGAACCAAACUCUGAAUGUUAGUGAUGUCUGAGUACUAUCUAAUAGUUAAAACUUUCAACAACGGAUCUCUUGGUUCUGGCAUCGAUGAAGAACGCAGCGAAAUGCGAUAAGUAAUGUGAAUUGCAGAAUUCAGUGAAUCAUCGAAUCUUUGAACGCACAUUGCGCCCUGUGGUAUUCCGCAGGGCAUGCCUGUUCGAGCGUCAUUUAACCACUCACGCCUAGCGUGGUAUUGGGGCACGCGGUCUCCGCGGCCCUCAAAAUUAGUGGCGGCGCCGGUGGGCUCUAAGCGUAGUAAUUUCUCUCGCUAUAGGGUUCCGGUGGUUACUUGCCAAAACCCCCCAUUUUUUCUAGGUUGACCUCGGAUCAGGUAGGGAUACCCGCUGAACUUAAGCAUAUCAAUAAGCGGAGGA
Molecule: ribosomal RNA, 603 nt
Filed under: uncultured Phialocephala
Lineage: Eukaryota; Fungi; Ascomycota; Leotiomycetes; Helotiales
Description: eukaryotic LSU rRNA
Rfam family: 5.8S ribosomal RNA (bases 243-396)
Source: RNAcentral